Molecule: ribosomal RNA, 468 nt
Filed under: uncultured bacterium
Lineage: Bacteria
Description: bacterial SSU rRNA
Rfam family: Bacterial small subunit ribosomal RNA
Source: RNAcentral
CCCAGACUCCUACGGGAGGCAGCAGUGAGGAAUAUUGGUCAAUGGCCGCAGGGCUGAACCAGCCAAGUCGCGUGAGGGAUGACGGUCCUAUGGAUUGUAAACCUCUUUUGUCAGGGAGCAAAGGGCGCCACGUGUGGCGUUUUGCGAGUACCUGAAGAAAAAGCAUCGGCUAACUCCGUGCCAGCAGCCGCGGUAAUACGGAGGAUCCGAGCGUUAUCCGGAUUUAUUGGGUUUAAAGGGAGCGUAGACGGCGAGACAAGUCUGGAGUGAAAGGCCGGGGCCCAACCCCGGGACUGCUCUGGAAACUGCCUGGCUGGAGUACAGGAGAGGCAGGCGGAAUUCCUAGUGUAGCGGUGAAAUGCGUAGAUAUUAGGAGGAACACCAGUGGCGAAGGCGGCCUGCUGGACGGUGACUGACGCUGAGGCUCGAAAGCGUGGGGAGCAAACAGGAUUAGAUACCCCCGUAUAC